UCAAAGAACCCAAAGGAAGCAACAUAAAUAAUGGUCAAAAGGCUUCUUUUGAGGAGGAUCUACCCAAGCAACAACAACAAGAUAACGAUGGUGCGCUAGAGAUCAAUGAAGUUACAUAUGGAGCUAUUUUAAAUGACAAUAUUAUAAACCGUGGCUCAAAAUUUUUGACAAGAGAUGAAAAGGAUGGAAAUUAUCGUGCCACACAAGGAUUGCCCAAGUAUAAAAUUUUGCUCUAUCAAUAACCUCUAUAAGUUUACUAAAAGAUUAUCAUCAGUUGAAGCUGGAUUUUAUUGGAAUCUUCCAACUAAAGAAGAUUCAAAUAUGCAUCACUUGGAAAAAGUUGAUUCAUCAAUCAAAACAAAUAAAUAAAAUGUUGCUCGUAAGAGAAAAGAGAGAGGCACAAAAUCUUCACUGGAUAAAAGGAUGCUUCGACUUCUUCCCCCAACUUUAAAAUUGCAACUCAAUCAUUUCCUUGAAUUCCAUCUCCAAGAUUAUCUUUUAAUCGUUUCUU
This is a long non-coding RNA of Solanum pennellii, 511 nucleotides long. RefSeq lists it as uncharacterized. The record is from RefSeq and is a predicted model, not a curated record. Lineage: Eukaryota; Viridiplantae; Streptophyta; Magnoliopsida; Solanales; Solanaceae. The transcript has 3 exons.